AGGGAAUCUUCCACAAUGGACGCAAGUCUGAUGGAGCAACGCCGCGUGAGUGAAGAAGGCUUUCGGGUCGUAAAGCUCUUUUACCCGGGAUGAUAAUGACAGUACCGGGAGAAUAAGCUCCGGCUAACUCCGUGCCAGCAGCCGCGGUAAUACGGAGGGAGCUAGCGUUGUUCGGAAUUACUGGGCGUAAAGCGCACGUAGGCGGCUAUUCAAGUCAGAGGUGAAAGCCCGGGGCUCAACCCCGGAACUGCCUUUGAAACUAGAUAGCUUGAAUCCAGGAGAGGUGAGUGGAAUUCCGAGUGUAGAGGUGAAAUUCGUAGAUAUUCGGAAGAACACCAGUGGCGAAGGCGGCUCACUGGACUGGUAUUGACGCUGAGGUGCGAAAGCUUGGGGAGCAAACA
This 401-nucleotide ribosomal RNA is filed under the name uncultured Sphingomonadaceae bacterium. Its description in RNAcentral is "bacterial SSU rRNA". It matches the Rfam family "Bacterial small subunit ribosomal RNA", at positions 356 to 774 of the family's 1533-position model. Lineage: Bacteria; Pseudomonadati; Pseudomonadota; Alphaproteobacteria; Sphingomonadales; Sphingomonadaceae. The record is from RNAcentral.